CUCAAGUUUUAUUUGCCUCAAUGCUUUUUAAUUUAAUUUGUACAGUAUGCUUCAAUUUUCAAUCUUCAUAAAUUAUAAUUGAUUAAUUGGCUUGGAUUUGAUAGUUAGAUAGUUCGGUGAAAAUAGAAUUAGUAUAAAAUCAUUUACAUUGUCUAAAUAGUAUGUUUGUAAAGUUAUUACUGUAUGAAUAUAUAUCAUCUAACACUAAGAAAUUUACUACCUCUGUCCACCAAAAUUUGUCCCAUUUUGUCAUUUACGUCCGUCCCCCAAAAUUUGUCUCAUUUCACUAUUAUCAUUUUUGGUAGUGAACCACAUAUUCCACUAACUUUUUCAACUCGCUUUUCAUUACAUUUUUUAAAAUCCGUGCCGAGUCAAAGUGGGACAAAUUUUGGUGGACAGAGUUGUUAUUGAUUGUAGUUAUGCAUCGAUACUUUUCCAAAAGACCAAGGAAUGAUUAAAAAAAAUGGAAAUGAAACCAUUCUUUGGCGAUUUCAGGACAUGGCGACUCGCCGGAAAUAGUUAUUAUCUAGUGUGUCGUAAAAGUUGAGCAGACAUUACAUGUAAAAUUAUAUAUUUUAAUAUGUCAAUCCAUGAGCACUAGCUGAGACGUAAUUAGUCUAGCGGGAUCGACUCAAUUUAUUGUUGGUUUGUUUUAUUAUUUUCGUUGUAAUUUCAUUCCACUUAUCGUUCUUAUUUUUUCGAUUGUAAUAGUUAAAUUACCGCCUAUACACAACUCAGGUAUUUUGUCCCAAUUUAUCUAACAUAGUGUACCUCCUAGAUUCUUAACAUCUUUCUUGUUUACAAGAUGAGAGCCGAGCCUGUUGGCUUCUCGCCGCCUUCCGUUGCAUGCUUGACUUUCGUGCUUCACGCUCCUAAAUUCUUGAAGCAAGGAAUUCUCAGUAUAAAUGGCUUCGCUUGUACGUGCAGGAUCUCUCCAAAUGGGGAUGUAAUUAGUCUUUCAAACGAUAUACCUUCUUGGAGGAAAGAUGAGCUUCCAUGUGUUGGAAAUAGAAUUUGGGUAUCUCAAGGAUGUUGGAAAGAGAAUUAUGGAUUCCCAACAUGUUGGAAAGAGGAGAUAGCAUUUAUAAUGUAGAGUUCCAAGUAUUCUUGUCCCUAGAUGCAUUUAUAUUUCUUGCCCUAUAAAUACCAAUGUACAUUGUAUCCUCAAAACACAAUUCAGUGAAUAAACAAUCUUCUCCAAUGUUCAAUAUCUGAUUA
Non-coding RNA from Salvia hispanica, 1218 nucleotides. Lineage: Eukaryota; Viridiplantae; Streptophyta; Magnoliopsida; Lamiales; Lamiaceae. The record is from RefSeq and is a predicted model, not a curated record.